AUGGGCAAGAAGGCUGCUGGCACCGGCGAGGAUCCCUUCCGCCUCCUCCCCGACGACCAGCUCGACCACAUCCUGUCCCUUCUGCCGGGAGAUGAUGCCCUGCAGACUUGCUUGCUUGACACCCAGUGGCGUUACUUUUGGAGGCGCAAUCCCUGCACUGGUGUGGACCAUAUCAGUUUCAAACAAACCAAUCGAUUGAUUAACGAGUACUCCCUCCGUCCGGAAAUACUUGUCGGGGAAAUGGAUGAAUCUAGACGUAUUUUAAUUAUAGAUACAUCCAAUUUUAUCCAUUUCUCCGACAAGUAUUUUGGGACGGAGGGAGUACAUUUUAAAGUGCCGCUGUGUUCUGUGGACGCACCAGUAUCACCUGGUACACGUCUCAUCUCCCGCCACUUGAGGCACACAACAUUUUAUUAUGUUGACCUCAUAGAUUCCUCGGCGGAUUUCUCGGGCUGCCCAGUAUUAGAGCAGCUAACAAUACAAAGUUGCCUUGUUGACGCGUUUGAGAUUUUUGUUGUUGUUGAAAAGGAGGCGUACCUCCGGCCUCUGCAUCAAUCGAUGCAUGCUGCCCAGUAUUAG
This 579-nucleotide ribosomal RNA is filed under the name Triticum aestivum (bread wheat). RNAcentral's name for it is "partial small subunit ribosomal RNA". The stretch from base 204 to 328 matches the Rfam family "MIR1120/MIR1122 microRNA precursor family". The record is from RNAcentral. Lineage: Eukaryota; Viridiplantae; Streptophyta; Magnoliopsida; Poales; Poaceae.